CUAGAUCGGUGCCAACGUGCAUCUAAACUUCAGGCUUGAACAGGGACUAUUGUUUUUGCCAGCCAUGGGGUUUCAUUCGUUCUGAAGAUGUCAUGGGGGUUUUGGAAUGUGUGUCCAUAACUUCCUGGUUUUCUCGCAUUUUCCAGCCCACCUGGCUAACGCAUCAUGGAGUGACGUGGGCGUGCCUCGGAUCCCCACAUUCCUCGCUCUUCAGGCUCUCUCCUAGUUUUGCAUGUGCAUGUAAAUGUUAACGAGUAAUAACCAGAUGGUCCCCACAGGGCAGGCUGCGGGUGAGAUGGAAAUUCUAGCAGGAGAAACCACAGCCCGAACUUUGCCAGUCUAAACCCAUCUUUGGUUUAGUGUAUCAGAACCAGCAAACAGAAGGGGAGAGCGGACUCUAAGGUACGUGCUGGCCCUCAUGACCCUGAGGACAGGGGCAAGCCGGCACCUGCUUCCUGCCUAUACCAGAGGCACCGCCUCCGAUGGGCAAAGGCUUUUCCUCCACGGGUUGGUUACUACUGGGAGAAGCAGACCAUAACCAGCCCUCUGACUGGCUCCCGGUAACUGGUGGAGGAGCCCAGGUAUGGACUGUGGAUCCCUGAAGCUCCGCACCCCUGCUUUACAGGAGGCUCCACACCCCUGCUUUUCAGGAGACAUCACCGGGUGGUUCUUACUCCAGAAUCAAUGGAGGCAAAAAACCGGGAGAUCCCAUAAAUCCCACCGAGCUCAUCACAGCCGCCAAAUUAUGCCCUGAUAA
Molecule: long non-coding RNA, 757 nt
Filed under: Suricata suricatta (meerkat)
Lineage: Eukaryota; Metazoa; Chordata; Mammalia; Carnivora; Herpestidae
Description: lncRNA (ENSSSUG00005005507.1)
Source: RNAcentral